AAAUAUCUGCAACAAGUAGGGGUUGCGUUUCAUUUUUAAAUAACUAAUAUAAUCUUAAGGUCAAGUAGAAUAUAAACAUACUUAGUUUUUUAAUCUGUGAACAUUUGUUUUUCUUUAUGACACUGAGACUAUAGAUAAUGGCGUAAUAGACUUUAUACCUCUGUUAUCUUGCCUUACAAUGAAAUAUACUUUCAGAGUAAAUUUCAGAAUUGUUGAUUUUUUGAGACAAAGGAUUUUUUUUAAUUUUAGAAGAUAAAUCAUUAUGAGACAGUGCUAAUGAAAAGCAGAAAUAUUUAAGUAUAAUAUUCAGAAAUGAUCCCUAUUCCAUGUUGUAUAUAGAUUUAUAAUGGUUAUACAUUUAGGCCAAGGCAGUCUGUGUUUACUUAAUAGUUCUUCAAAAAUAUUAUAAAAUGGGCAUUUCUAGAACUUUUCACUGAAAUUUGGUUAUGUUCUUGUCUUAAUAGUAUUUAUAUUGACAAAGAGGUGUGUGUAAUGGGUGGUUUUGUUUGUUUUGGUGUCUUUUAAAUGUUCUAAAAAUUGUAUAUAUUGAGACAUGAAAAUAUCAGAAUUUUUAGAUUAAUGAAUGUUAAAGUAAAUUCCUUUAGGAUUUGCCUAGGUGUGCUCUGAUGACUAAGGAUCUAAAUCACAGCUAGUCACAUAAUUUUUGUUUUAAGAGUCUCUUUAAAAUUGUAGUGGAAUUUAUCCAAAGUGAUUGGUCUGAUUGUACGUGUGUGUUUGUGUAUUCCAAAUGUUGUGAGGUCUCUGAAUAAUCAGUAGUUUUGUGUUUUACCUUUCUUCCUCUUUUAUCUUUUGUGAAAUAUCUUCAUUUAUUUUGUAUUAGUAAAUUAUUCCCUCAUAAAUUAAAAUUUGAACGUAUCAGAAAUAAAACUUAAGCUCAUUUUGUGUUAUAA
Molecule: long non-coding RNA, 911 nt
Filed under: Bos taurus (domestic cattle)
Lineage: Eukaryota; Metazoa; Chordata; Mammalia; Artiodactyla; Bovidae
Description: long non-coding RNA NONBTAT010831
Source: RNAcentral